Molecule: ribosomal RNA, 301 nt
Filed under: uncultured bacterium
Lineage: Bacteria
Description: partial 16S ribosomal RNA
Rfam family: Bacterial small subunit ribosomal RNA
Source: RNAcentral
CAGUCGCCGCGGUAAUACGGAGGGGGCUAGCGUUGUUCUGAAUUACUGGGCGUAAAGCGCACGUAGGCGGCUUGGUAAGUUAGAGGUGAAAGCCCAGGGCUCAACCCUGGAAUUGCCUUUAAGACUGCCGAGCUAGUAGGUGAGAGAGGUAAGUGGAAUUCCGAGUGUAGAGGUGAAAUUCGUAGAUAUUCGGAAGAGCACCAGUGGCGAAGGCAGCUUACUGGCUCAUUCUAGACGCUGAGGUGCGAAAGCGUGGGGAGCAAACAGGAUUAGAUACCCCCGUAGUCCCUGUCUCUUAUAU